Molecule: ribosomal RNA, 1498 nt
Filed under: uncultured Bordetella sp.
Lineage: Bacteria; Pseudomonadati; Pseudomonadota; Betaproteobacteria; Burkholderiales; Alcaligenaceae
Description: partial 16S-23S ribosomal RNA intergenic spacer
Rfam family: Bacterial small subunit ribosomal RNA
Source: RNAcentral
UUCGGAUGCAUUAUUCCAGAAAUCAGGUAAAAAUAAAGAGUGGUUCUGGAUUAUGGCUGAUUGGGCCGGCGGGAUGCCUUACAUUAUGCAAGUCGAACGGCGCACGGCUCGGGGUCUGGCAUGGCGCAACGGUGAGGUGGGGAAGGCAUCGAACGUGUUUCCAGCAUGGACAACUACAGAAAGAUGUAGCUGGUGCUGCCAUCGCCUGAUGGGGAGUUAGGACCGUGAAUAUCCGCACUGAUUGGCGGCCGAUAUCGAUUGUACAGUUGUGGGGUAACGGCUCACCAAGGCGACGAUCCGUAGCUGGUUUGAGAGGACGACCAGCCACACUGGGACUGAGACACGGCCCAGACUCCUACGGGAGGCAGCAGGGGGAAUUUUGACACGGCCGGGGAAAAUCCCUGAUCCAGCCAUCCCGCGUGUGUGCGAUGAAGUGGCCCUCGGGUUGUAAAGCACUUUUGGCAGGAAAGAAAAACGCCGUGGGUUAGUACCCCGCGAAACUGACGGUACCUGCAGAAUAAGCACCGGCUAACCACACGUGCCAGCAGCCGCGGUAAUACGUAGGUGCAUGUUAAUCGGAAUUACUGGGCGUAGCGUGUGCAGGUUGUCUGGAAAGAAAGAUGAAAUCCCAGAGCUUAACUUUGAACUGCAUUUUUAACUACUGCCAGAGUGUGUCAGAGAGGAGGUGGAAUUCCGCAGGGUAGCAGCGAAAUGCGUAGAUAUGCGGAGGAACACUGAUGGCGAAGUGCUGUAGCCUCCUGGGAUAACACUGACGCUCAUGCACGAAAGCGUGGGGAGCAAACAGGAUUAGAUAAUUCUGGUAGUCCACGCCCUAAACGAUGUCAACUAGCUGUUGGGGCCUCUAUUUUAGUGCAGCGCAACGGGGUGAAGUUGACCGCCUGGGGAGUACGGUCGCAAGAUUAAAAACUCAAAGGAAUUGACGGGGACCCGCACAAGCGGUGGAUGAUGUGGAUUAAUUCGAUGCAACGCGAAAAACCUUACCUACCCUUGACAUAACCAAGAAGAGAUUUGGCAGUGCUCGCAAGAGAACCGGAACACAGGUGCUGCGUAUGGCUGUCGUGUCGUUCGUGUCGUGAGAUGUUGGUUAAGUCCCGCAACGAGCGCAACCCUUGUCAUUAGUUGCUACGAAACACCUAAUGAGACUGCCGGUGACAAAACCGGAGGAAGGUGGGGAUGACGUCAAGUCCUCAUGGCCCUUAUGGGUAGGGUCACACGUCACAAUGGUCGGACGGAGGUCGCCAACCCGCGAGGGGGAGCCAAUCCCAGAAACCCGAUCGUAGUCCGGAUCGCAGUCUGCAACUCGACUGCGUGAAGUCGGAAUCGCUAGUAAUCGCGGAUCAGCAUGUCGCAGAAUAUCUGGUCUUGUACACACCGCCCGUCACACCAUGGGAGUGGGUUUUACCAGAAGUAGUUAGCCUAACCGCAAGGGGGCGAUUACCACGGUAGGAUUCAUGACUGGGUGAAGUCAACAAGGUAG